GGCCCUAGACCCGCGGAGAGGGAGUGACCAAAGACAAAAUCUGUGUGGCCCCCAAAAAGUCAAGGUCUAAUAAGCCCUUCGUCAGCUGCAGGUACUCCCUCAGGCUCGGGCUCCCAACUCUAGCUGGAGACCCGGACAGAGCGCCGGUCCCCUGGCUGCCUGCGACGCGGGGCACCAAGUCUAGCGCAGUGGGCGGUGAGGUGCGGCGAAGGUGAAGCCGGCAGCUCCGAGCGGUCCACGUUGCAUCCCCCGGGCGACAGCCCUGAGCGACUCCAGGACCGCCAGCCGGCGGGGCAAAAAAUUACAAAAGUAACCUGAGCAGCCCCGGCGUAAAGUUACAAAGAAAGUGAACCUCAAAAGGAAAAAAGGCCUGCACUCAGAGCUCGGCGGAUUCCCGUGCGCUCUGGGCACGGAUCUUGGAAAGCUGCGAAAGUCACCAAAAAGAAGCAGGCAAGGAAACAAAAGUUGCCCCAAAAGAAGAGGGUAUCCUCUGGGCUCUUUCCGAGUUCCACAGGGCAACGACGCGCGGGCAGCGGCUGCGGAGGCCGGGCGGAGUCUCUUUUCCCCACUACUACCAUGCGGGUGUAGAAAAUUAUAAUGCCCUAAGAAAUGGCAGAGUUUCAAGAGGGAAAGAUGCUGCAUCUCUAACUCAUGGUGUGGAUGAAUGCCAUCAUGCAGAAACACCCCUAUUGCACUGUCAUGUGAGUAAGAAAUCCACUUCUAUUAGAUUAAAUGCCUGAAACUUUUGGAUGUAUGUAUUGUGCUGUUGUUAUUAGGCCUUGGAUUGAGGAACACUAACGUCUUGCAUGUGGCCCUUUUUACUACGAUGGCUUUGACAUCAUGGAUCAGUGAGCCAGUGGAGGGAUUCUACCAGUGGCCAAAGAUAUCCAGCUAAGAAUAUGCCAGUAUGUUGUGAAGAUAACAAUUGGAUGGGUUUGUUGUCCCACUGGCCUUGGGUAAGUUCUCUGUUUGCCCAC
RNAcentral lists this long non-coding RNA (977 nucleotides) under Callithrix jacchus (white-tufted-ear marmoset). RNAcentral's name for it is "lncRNA (ENSCJAG00000074102.1)". The record is from RNAcentral. Lineage: Eukaryota; Metazoa; Chordata; Mammalia; Primates; Cebidae.